GCUCAGAUUGAACGCUGGCGGCAUGCUUUACACAUGCAAGUCGAACGGCAGCACGAAAGAGCUUGCUCUUUUGGUGGCGAGUGGCGAACGGGUGAGUAAUACAUUGGAACGUACCGAGUAAUGGGGGAUAACUGUCCGAAAGGAUGGCUAAUACCGCAUACGCUCUGAGGAGGAAAGCGGGGGACCUUCGGGCCUCGCGUUAUUCGAGCGGCCAAUGUCUGAUUAGCUAGUUGGUGGGGUAAAGGCCUACCAAGGCGACGAUCAGUAGUGGGUCUGAGAGGAUGAUCCGCCACACUGGGACUGAGACACGGCCCAGACUCCUACGGGAGGCANCAGUGGGGAAUUUUGGACAAUGGGCGAAAGCCUGAUCCAGNCAUGCCGCGUGUCUGAAGAAGGCCUUCGGGUUGUAAAGGACUUUUGUCAGG
Molecule: ribosomal RNA, 425 nt
Filed under: uncultured Neisseria sp.
Lineage: Bacteria; Pseudomonadati; Pseudomonadota; Betaproteobacteria; Neisseriales; Neisseriaceae
Description: bacterial SSU rRNA
Rfam family: Bacterial small subunit ribosomal RNA
Source: RNAcentral